UGGCACACGUCGUGGUCUGAAUAAGUUUGAACUAGACCAAACGAGUCUGAGCAGACUGUGUGAUAGUGGUUUGUCGAUGUGUUCUGAACUGAAAACCUGCUAAGAAACUUUGAACAAACGUGGCCAAAGUUGGAUGAAAAUUACAAUUUUUCGACCAUUACGGAUUUUACCUGGUCUGAAGUUGGAGUGUAUUAUUUGACCAUUUUUUGGACAGGUGCGGGAGCUGCCGGCCAUUUGCCCUAGCAGGCGGAGAGAGGUCGUGGAGUGUCAGCCUAUGGUAUCUGAGGUCCAGGAGAGAUGACCUGCGCUGUUUUCCUCUGAGGAGGUAAGACUGUCCUAAUUUAUUUAUAAUUUAAUUAUUAUUCAAAUUGGGCAUGAUUUAUACUUAUAUUGAAGCAGUACGGUAUUUGCUGGGGCAAUCUCAUAAUUUUGACUUAGCAUGUAUUUUUUUUCUUUUUGUGCUAGAAAUAGGACUUCUAUAGCCUGAGAUUGUUAGGGAAAGAAUACUAAGGCAGGUCACAGAAUCUGAUUGGUCACAGAUUUUGGUGCAACUUAGAACAUAAUAUGUAUUUUCAUAUUGAUACUGGGUUUUGUGGGGGGUGUUUCUAUUCCUGUGCAAAAGACGUAUUCAUGAGAGAUUUUUGAAGUAGGUUUUGCAGUUGAUAACACAGUCAGGCAUAUAACAUGGUGCAGACUGUCCAAGACAGCUACCCAGGAAUUUUCUGUGCUGAAUAAAUGACAAUAUUUUGGUGAAUGUAUUGUUUAGAUAUCUGAAAAUUUCAUCGGAUCACAAGCAAAGACCUCCUGGGGACCUUCAAUGCAUCCCUUGACAAAGUUGUGCCUGGCCUGC
Long non-coding RNA from Oreochromis aureus, 850 nucleotides. RefSeq lists it as uncharacterized. The record is from RefSeq and is a predicted model, not a curated record. The transcript has 3 exons. Lineage: Eukaryota; Metazoa; Chordata; Actinopteri; Cichliformes; Cichlidae.